Molecule: ribosomal RNA, 450 nt
Filed under: uncultured bacterium
Lineage: Bacteria
Description: partial 16S ribosomal RNA
Rfam family: Bacterial small subunit ribosomal RNA
Source: RNAcentral
GUGGGGAAUUUUGGACAAUGGGCGAAAGCCUGAUCCAGCAAUGCCGCGUGUGUGAAGAAGGCCUUCGGGUUGUAAAGCACUUUUGGCAGGGAAGAAACAGUGCGUGCUAAUACCAUGCGCGAAUGACGGUACCUGCAGAAUAAGCACCGGCUAACUACGUGCCAGCAGCCGCGGUAAUACGUAGGGUGCAAGCGUUAAUCGGAAUUACUGGGCGUAAAGCGUGCGCAGGCGGCUUUGUAAGACGGAUGUGAAAGCCCCGGGCUCAACCUGGGAAGUGCAUUCGUGACUGAAAGGCUAGAGUGUGUCAGAGGGAGGUGGAAUUCCGCGUGUAGCAGUGAAAUGCGUAGAGAUGCGGAGGAACACCGAUGGCGAAGGCAGCCUCCUGGGAUAACACUGACGCUCAGGCACGAAAGCGUGGGGAGCAAACAGGAUUAGAAACCCUAGUAGUCC